Molecule: ribosomal RNA, 564 nt
Filed under: Streptomyces sp. 424H02
Lineage: Bacteria; Bacillati; Actinomycetota; Actinomycetes; Kitasatosporales; Streptomycetaceae
Description: bacterial SSU rRNA
Rfam family: Bacterial small subunit ribosomal RNA
Source: RNAcentral
UAGUGGCGAACGGGUGAGUAACACGUGGGCAAUCUGCCCUUCACUCUGGGACAAGCCCUGGAAACGGGGUCUAAUACCGGAUAUGAGCCUGGGAGGCAUCUCCUGGGUUGUAAAGCUCCGGCGGUGAAGGAUGAGCCCGCGGCCUAUCAGCUUGUUGGUGAGGUAAUGGCUCACCAAGGCGACGACGGGUAGCCGGCCUGAGAGGGCGACCGGCCACACUGGGACUGAGACACGGCCCAGACUCCUACGGGAGGCAGCAGUGGGGAAUAUUGCACAAUGGGCGAAAGCCUGAUGCAGCGACGCCGCGUGAGGGAUGACGGCCUUCGGGUUGUAAACCUCUUUCAGCAGGGAAGAAGCGAAAGUGACGGUACCUGCAGAAGAAGCGCCGGCUAACUACGUGCCAGCAGCCGCGGUAAUACGUAGGGCGCAAGCGUUGUCCGGAAUUAUUGGGCGUAAAGAGCUCGUAGGCGGCUUGUCACGUCGAUUGUGAAAGCCCGAGGCUUAACUUCGGGUCUGCAGUCGAUACGGGCUAGCUAGAGUGUGGUAGGGGAGAUCGGAAUUCCU